UUGUAACACGGUGGUAUAGGGCACCAGAACUCCUACUUUGCUGUGACAACUAUGGGACAUCUAUUGAUGUAUGGUCUGUGGGAUGCAUCUUUGCUGAGCUUCUUGGACGAAAACCUAUUUUCCCGGGUUCAGAGUGUCUCAACCAACUAAAACUGAUUAUCAAUAUCCUUGGCAGUCAAAGGGAGGAGGAUAUUGAAUUUAUUGAUAAUCCAAAAGCAAAGAGAUACAUCAAAUCACUUCCAUAUUCCCCCGGAACCCCCUUUUCCAGACUUUACCCCAAUGCACAUCCAUUGGCAAUAGACCUACUCUCAAAGAUGCUUGUUUUUGAUCCCACAAAAAGGAUCAGUGUCACCGAAGCGCUUCAACAUCCUUUCAUGGCCUCUCUCUAUGAUCCUAAUUCUGACC
Molecule: long non-coding RNA, 405 nt
Filed under: Medicago truncatula (barrel medic)
Lineage: Eukaryota; Viridiplantae; Streptophyta; Magnoliopsida; Fabales; Fabaceae
Description: long non-coding RNA (MTRU_LNC001276)
Source: RNAcentral